AACAUCAGAGGAGAACAGAGGAGGAGAACCCUCCACCUCGGGGUCCCCAACGCUAAUCCAGCAGAACCAUCGUGACCCGAACGUCGGCCCGAGCCCUGGGUCUCACAGAACGUGCAGUUACACAGAAAAACCACCAAAGAAGAUGUCUAGCCAGGCCUGGAUAGUGGAGAAAUCUGGAAAACGAUGAAACAUCUGCAGAAAAGCCGGUUUGCCACGACCUUCGACCUUUAUUCACACAACGGGCACCCUCUUGCCCUGCUACUCUGUAAAGUGCCUUUGUGACAGUUCUGUGUAAAAAGCGCUAUACAAAUAAAAUUCAAUUGAACUGAA
Long non-coding RNA from Anguilla rostrata (American eel), 330 nucleotides. RefSeq lists it as uncharacterized. The transcript is spliced from 2 exons. The record is from RefSeq and is a predicted model, not a curated record. NCBI's taxonomy places the organism in Eukaryota, Metazoa, Chordata, Actinopteri, Anguilliformes, Anguillidae.